Molecule: ribosomal RNA, 492 nt
Filed under: uncultured bacterium
Lineage: Bacteria
Description: partial 16S ribosomal RNA
Rfam family: Bacterial small subunit ribosomal RNA
Source: RNAcentral
AGUGAACGCUGGCGGUAGGCCUAACACAUGCAAGUCGAACGGCAGCACAGUAAGAGCUUGCUCUUACGGGUGGCGAGUGGCGGACGGGUGAGGAAUACAUCGGCAUCUACUUUUACGUGGGGGAUAACGUGGGGAAACUUACGCUAAUACCGCAUACGACCAACGGGUGAAAGCAGGAGUUCUUCGGACUUUGCGCGUCUGAUUGAGCCGAUGUCGGAUUAGCUAGUUGGUAAGGUAAAGGCCCACCAAGGCAACGAUCCGUAGCCGACCUGAGAGGAUGAUCGGCCACACUGGAACUGAGACACGGUCCAGACUCCUACGGGAGGCAGCAGUAGGGAAUCUUCCGCAAUGGGCGAAAGCCUGACGGAGCAACGCCGCGUGAGUGAUGAAGGUCUUCGGAUCGUAAAACUCUGUUAUUAGGGAAGAAAAAAUGUGUAAGUAACUAUGCACGUCUUGACGGUACCUAAUCAGAAAGCCCCGGCUAACUACGUG